Molecule: long non-coding RNA, 2710 nt
Organism: Leopardus geoffroyi (Geoffroy's cat)
Lineage: Eukaryota; Metazoa; Chordata; Mammalia; Carnivora; Felidae
Exons: 2
Source: RefSeq, a predicted model, not a curated record
GCCGUGGGCAUCUGUCCCCUGGUGGCCCUUUUCCAGGGCCUCCGCGGACCCAGUUCUACUUUGAGUCCUGCCCCUCCCCCACCUGACACGUGAGUAUCCUCAAGUCAGAAGCCUCCCAGCCCCCUCCUCUCAUCCCUAGAAAGCAAUGCAUGUACUUCCUUCAGGGAGACUUUGAUCUCUCUUGCUCCAAGCCCUCCCAUGCAUUGAUCUUGGCCCAGCAGCAUCCGUCAUUGUCCCCAGGGAACCCAAGCUUAGAUACAGCCAUGAACAGGGAAGCAGGGAGAGCAGGAGCUGGGGGUGCGUGUGGGAGGGAGGGAAGGACAGCUGUGUCGCAGGCUCUGUUGUGCCCCCUUGGCUUGAAUUCAUGCCUGUUUCCAGAAACACGGGGGAGCACUAUGUACCAUGGAGGUCGGCAAGCCCCAGAGCCAAGAGUCUCCAAAGUAUGAGAUGGCUCGGGCUCCUGAGAAGCUGGCUUCUGACUCACCCAGGGGCAGUGGGCAGACGGGCUGGCUGGGCGGCGCUGGGCCAUGCUUCGCUCAGGGACCAGGCUGUCGUGGCCCUGCCUCCCGCAACACACACCGUUUCCAAGGUUGCCAUGGUAAUCUUUCCGGCCAGCCAGGAGAGGGAAAGGAGCGUGGUGGAGAGUCACCAAGGGGUUUGGGAACAGAGACCUUCCACUCAGGGUGCCAUGCCCAGAGCGCUGAGCUGCACAGGGAUGGUGAGGAGUAUUCUGUCAUCGCAGGGGGCCUCGGGGCCAUCAGGGGGCCCUUCAGGGCACGUGGACAGGACAGAGCCCCCAGCGCUGAGGAGACUUUCCUGAGGGCAGACGGUGACUGAAGCGUUAAUACCCUCGACCAGCAAGAAGUGGAAGUGAGAUCUGCACUUGACUCUACUCUUCCGGCAACUUGGAAGACGAGCGCCCCGGGGGACACUCAGCUGCUCUCUGUGGCUUGGCCUGGCCCCUGUGUCACAGGCGGAGCAGAGGAAGCAGCAUCCGCACAGCGUUCUCCGUGAAGCGUCCCUGUGGGCAGCCUGGGCUGUGCGUAUGGCAGGAUUGAACCUGCCCCACCAUCAGGUCUUCUGAACUGGCUCCUGACCGCUUCCGGUCAUCCCUCCGUGGGCAGGAUUCUGGGAUGCCACCCACACUUUGUGCCCUGGACCCUCAGAAUCUCCUUGUUCUGUCCUCUGCCUCCCCUCCAAGUCCUCAGGCUCAGGGGCUGCUUUUCCUCCAAAACCACCCGUUGUUGAAGCAGACCUAAUGUCCACAGAGCCUCCACAGGUGCAGAAAAGUGCACUGGGGGAAGCAGAGCAUGCUGGGAGAAUGCCCCAAGGGUCCAGCAGCCAGGGCGUGCUCUCCCCUGCCCCACAGUCUCUGCAGCCCAGGCAUGCUGUUCCAGAAACUUCCUAACCUCCUGGGCAGCAGGGACAAGUGGAACCAAGCACUAAUGGGUGACCAGGAGUGCACAAGACCUGUCAGCCUCCCUGUUUGAAUGUCCUCCUGCCCCGUGGGUGUCAUGUGGGCUCUCGUGAGCCCAUGGCUGUGCCUUGCCCUCUCUGCCCUUGAGGACACGGGCUCGUGGUCAUUGUGACCAUCGUCUUUCUAGAAACAGGCUGAGGCUGGUGAGCUAACUCUGGAGAAGCCAACACUGUGAAUCGAUCCCUGGGCUGCCCGCCCACCUCAGAACUUUCUAUUCCUUUCCAUGUGGGUGCAGCAGUUUCCAAGGGACCAUUGUUGCAGUGGACUGAGAUUUAUUUCUAAUAAUUGUCCUCAUUUUAUUCAACACGGACUCCUGGCUCCUUUCUCAUCAGACACAUGUGUCUGUGCAUGGUACCUCACAGGUACCCCAUGCAAAUACAGAUACGCUAUCUUUGGACUUGCCUUCCCUCUUCCCUCACUCUGCUUGAGGUGGUGGUGUUUGACAUCGCCGGGCCAAGGGCCACCCCCGUGCCCCCCGCCACCGCAUGUGGUUGGCUCUCUGGAGAGCAGUGGAGGCAGGAAACCAUUGAGUGCUGGGUUCUUAGUGGGAGGCACCGCCAUUACCAUCAACUUGGAACAGCUUGAGGAGCGAUCUGAUGUCCGUUAACAAUCCAUGUUUGCAUGUGCAGACGGGCUGAACUAGCUGGAGAAGGGAGCGCGUCAUACUAAAGAUGGCAGAGAUGUAAGAAUAAGGCUUUAAGGCAAUAACCCUGUAAGCCACGGUUUACCAGAUGGCAAGGACUGAUAUUCAAUUCACUACCCUUGAGGUAUGGAUUCAUAUCUGAUGUCUACUGGACAGAUGUCCCCAACCAGCAGGGAACCAGAUGAGAAGUCAGAGUGUGCAUACAGAGGAGAACGCACUCUCUCUCUCUCUCUCUCUCUCUCUCACACACACACACACACGCUAUAACAUGGGUGAAUCUUGUUACUAUUACACCCAGUGAAAGACGACAUACUAUAUGAUCUCCUUGAUGUGAGACGUCCAGUAAGAGCAUAUCUGUAGAGCCACAAGUAGGUCACUGGUUGCCUGGGGCUGGGGGCCGGAACGGGGAUUAGCUAUAAAUGUGCAUGAGGGCUCUUGCUGGGGUGAUGGAGAUGUUCUAAAACUGGAUCGUGAUGAUGUUUGCACAACGUGGCAAAAUUUGCUAAAAAUUAUUGAAGUGUAUGCUUAAAAUGCUCGAAUUUUAUGGUGUGUUGUUUAUGCCUCAAUAAAGUUGUUUUUUAAAAAAGUCA